UGGAAGCCCAAAUGCUGCUCUGCAGGGAGCAUGGCUACUCCCCUCCUGGACUGCUCUCCACCCAGAAGAAUCAUUUUUAAACACAGCACGGCAUUUCCUCCCAAACUGAAUUUCAUGAAUUUUCUACUUCUCUGUAAUCCUUUGGCAUUCCUGGAUUCCAUUUGCAACACAAACCAAGAAGUUUGGAGGAACAUCAAAGGUUUUUUUUUUUUUUUUUUUUUUUUUUCUCCUAGAGAUAGCAAUGCAUGCAGAUGCACUUGCUCUGCAGCAGAUCUUGCGUAGCCUAGAGAAAGUGAGUUUAUUUCUGGAAACCUGAUUUAUGGAGCAGCAAAUGGAUGGAUGGCUGAUCCCCAGGGGAAAAUGUAAAUCAGCACUGACAAACACCUCGAAAGACCACCAAGUUCCAACCUGAUGCUGCCAGGCUCAUAACUGUAUUAGCAAAUAUUUUAUAUAAGCCUAGCAUGUGUGCUCCCUAAUAACCAUGUGGCUUUUAACAGCUUACAUAAUGUAUAUAAGCACUUCGUUAAGAUCUGGUGUAUUACGCUAUAUCAAAGUGUUGGAUGAGAAACUGGCAAUAGGUCAUCCAAAAUUAUGCAGUUUCACAUGAAAGGAUUUUGCCCUUUUAUGGCAAAGGUAGAAACUCUCUGGGUGGUGGUGGUGUGUGUUUUGUUCUCAAAAUAUCCGAUUCUCCACACACGUGUGCUCUGCUGACAGCACAGCUGUAAUUAUCCAUGUGAGAAGCACCUGCUUCUGCUUGUUUUUAGUGUCUUAAUUAAGCAUAUUUGGCCUACGAGGCAAGGGCAGAGUGGUUGAAUGGGCACAUGGCUGCAGCUGAUAUAUGCAGGCAGAAGUGAUACAUGGCAGGCAACAUAUCUUAAUAUGGUCCAUCACCCUUUGUCAUGUUGUAAGCAGAGACUCCCCUGUCCCACGAUACAGAGUGCUUUGCACAGGAAAUAUUUGUGCUGUCUCAGUCCAUUAUGUGUUUGUGCUCCUCUUCAGUUGAACUCUAAUGCUGACCCCGCUCAGGGUGUGUUGCUUGUUUUGGAAAUACUUGUGAUAUCCCUUGAAUGUUUAUUUUCCACCCCAACAUGCUGCUACAUUCUUGCAAGCUUUCUCUGGCUGCAAUGCAAUGUUUGGCCAGGAAACAGAGAAUACAAAUGAAAAACAGUGCCCCGGUCUUAGGGAAAUGUAGUGAACCUACAACAGAAAAUGUUUGAUUGGAAAAAAGGCUAUGAUUUCCAAAGAAAUAACAAACAAACAGCUGGUCAGCACCCCUGUAAGAUCAUCAACUUCAAAUGUGUAUUUCCUGGGCAGAUCAAAAUAUUUUGUUUAGUUCUCCUCCUCUGCCCUCACCAGGUAGGAGAAGCAGAGGGCAGGUCCAGUGAUAAUGUACCAAAGCAGAUAAUGACAUGGUUAAUAACUGUGGCAAGUAUUUGUUGCAACAAUUUGCAUGGCCAACUGUCUUCACAUUGCUUCCAGUGAUGGAUCCAGGCUGCCAGCUUUCUCCACCUAUUUGUUGAAGACCAGCACUUAAACCAACAGCACACCCAGGGGCAGACUCAAAGGGCCAGCAGCAGGAAAACACUUUUCCUGUGCAGUGUUUUUCAGGAACCUAAUGUCAAUAGUGACAUUGGGGUCACUUUUGCCAGGUUAGCAGAGUAUUGGGAGCAUUAAUACAAGGCUUGUGUUUUCUGAAGCAAGGCCUCGAAUGCUCAGCAGAGCAACAGAAGUUCUCAACAUCUCUGUCAGAGAACAUGAAAGCAGACCCCGGUGUCCAUGAAGUCACAGCACUGUAGAGCCUCUGUAUAUGAACUAGGUGUGAACAUGGCUAAGGCAACUGUAGGUACAGAGACAGACCCAAAUUCAUCAGCAGCUGCUUAUAUCACCACAGAGGGCUAGACAGAGGCCUGGCUUCACUGUCACUACCCAGAACGUGCUCAAAAUUCAGGAUCUCCAUAACAGCUAACACUGCUCCCUUCAAACCACAAUACAGCAUGACAUGUUACCUCAGAGCCACCCUGGGACCAGAUCAUCCCUUCUGCUAGACUACAGGAUGAUCCAGGGGUACAGCAGGGGAUCGGGUUAUCCACAAGUACAGCUUGCCGAGCUAUAUAAUCUGGUACAUUAAACUAAAACAUUGUUGGAUGGCACCAGAUGUUUUGAAUCCCACUCUGUGAUCAAAAACAGAGGCAGGCAAUUGUGUGACACAGAUGAGAAAAGGAAGCUUGGGUAGGCAUUUCAUCAUCUGGAGGCAUGAGGAGUCCCAAAUGGGGGUGGUGUAGGGGGCUGGCCUCAGUGGGGGAGUGGUUGGGGAGCUGGAGGAGACCAGUGCCUUGUUUACAUGUUUGUAUCCCAGAAAUGCAAAGGCUUUGGAGCAUAAUGACCUCUCCUCUGUGCUUCUCCUGAGGGAAAACUUCUCCUUACCUACAUGACAAUACACUAAGGGGUGCACAGCAGCAAAACAGCUGAGUGCCAGAUAGUAAUAGACUGAGUCCUGCCCACCUGAAGAAUGGCCCUGAAGAUAAUGCAGUACAGGAACUCUGAAAGCACACGGAAUAGUGGGGGGACUGUGCUUGAGAAAUCUCUAGUUCUUAACCAAAAAUUCAACUUUUCAUUGCCCUCAGAAUAGUAUGUGUGUGUUGUUUUGCUCGAUUGACAGGGUGACUGAAACUCUGGUAGCACAACAAAGCCCAAAUUUGUCUGUAAAUCCCCAUUUCAAAAGUUGGUUUCCCAGACUUCUGUAAAAAAAGAACAGCCCGGUUGUAAGAAAGUGAGCCAGAUUCUUUCCUGGUUUAUGAAGCAGUGAGGGAAUUGAUAACUAAAUACCAGUGGCAGGCGCUGCAGUGCAGAUGGUGCCUGAGCCUGAAAGACGGCGGCAUGCCUGUUACACUCCAAGUGAAGCUGCUGAGCUGGCAGCCACCACAGCCAUUAUUUUAUUGCUAAGCUAAGCAGAUCAGACAUGUAAGUUCACUGGGACCUAAAAAUGGUUCAUUUGUACUAAGAUAAACUUCAGCGCGAACAUUCAGUGACUAGCAGCACGUCUGCAGUUCACCCCCUUGUGGAUGAUGGAUGGGAAACCAAAUACAUAGGAGGAGGAGACUAACGCAGAAUAGAGAAUUUGUCCUCAGGGUAGUGUUUGGAGAAACUUUUUUUCUAUUAUAAAGAGAAAAUAGAAGGGGGCAGGAUUGGCUUCUGCCUUGCAAGGCAAGGUAGCAAAUCUGGCAUUGUAGUCUUGUGAAAAGUCAACCCUGUGACCAGCAGCACGAAGCUGAAGUCCUUGAGCAGAGAUCUGUAUUGACAAUAUGAACACACAGAGUUGCUGUAUGUUUGUGAAUCAACUCAUACAUGUUGCAGUGUCUGUGGAGAACACAGGCAGGCAGUGAGACCGGCUGCAGUGCUACCUGGGCCUUCUCUCUCCAUCGUGAAGCAGCGCAAAUGAGCCUGUACCAUGUUCUACGCGGGUACCAAAUCUAGUUUGUGAAGUGAGUUGGCUUAUUGUAAUGGAUCACUGCUUCUUGGAGUGAAAAUGAAAUAAUCUGUAGGUGAGGAUCUACAUGUCCUCUGCUCUCCGCGCCACACAACAGUUGAGCACCUGACUGUAUCUCUAGACGUCAGGCCUGUACAGCAUCAGUUGAGCAUAAGCCCUGAACAACCUGACACAAGCCAUCUGCUCCUCCUCUGCUCGCUUUGCACAGCCAGCCAGGUCCUCUCCUUCCUGCUAUCAGGAUUGAGUGACAGCCAGCGAGCAAUCCUCCGAGGCUCAGGCAUUGCCACACCAAGCAACUGGACCUUCAGACUGGUGGAACCGGUGUGGAGAUGACUUCUACUAGCAUGCCAGUGGCCCAAACGCUCUCACUGGGGCAGUGGCGUGUAAAGGUAGCUGCAAAAAGAAUCAUCGGACCUGUGGUAUUUCUCCUCUGACUGCAAGCAUAACACCCCGCAUUUGUACCUAAGCAGAUUAUUGUUCUGAUCAUAGGUCAUAGCUCUGCUCCGCCAGCAUCGGCUGAUGACAUCACUGACACCCAAACCAGAGCAAGGAACUGCUGAAUGCACCAGCUGCUAAUAUCAUCAGCGGCCAGGAGCCUGCAACUCCUGCUGUCUUCGCCUCUUGAUAAAAGCCCAAAGUCAAUUCAGAAGAAAUGGUGCUAGAGAGUGUGAACAGGUGAGAGGGUAACCAUUUAAAUUGCUUACUUUAAAACUGUAGCAGAAGAUAUGCUUUCUGCAGGAACAAAAUGUGAAAUGAACAAUCACAUAAUUGAAAUCAAUGUCUAGGCUUUUCAGUUACAUAUAAACUUAGCAACACAUCUUGCCCAAAAUUAUUGUGAUUACAUCGUGUGUUUGUUACAAAAACAUUCAGCCCACAUUUCUAAAGUUUGUCAGGUUAUUUAUUUAAAGUAUUUCUCUUGCAAAUAAAAUUUGGAAAACAA
Long non-coding RNA from Oxyura jamaicensis (ruddy duck), 4427 nucleotides. RefSeq lists it as uncharacterized. The record is from RefSeq and is a predicted model, not a curated record. The transcript is spliced from 3 exons. Lineage: Eukaryota; Metazoa; Chordata; Aves; Anseriformes; Anatidae.